CAGGAUUCAGGAGUGAAGCUGCUCUCUGAUGGACUGAAGAGUUCACACUGUCGACUGAACAUCCUGAGGCUAUGUGGAUGUAAUCUCACAGCUCAGUCUUGUGGGAGUUUGUCUUCAGCUCUACAAUCCUCAAAUUCCCAUCUAAAUGUGCUGGACCUGAGUUACAAUGACCUGCAGGAUUCAGGAGUGAAGCUGCUUUCUGAAGGUCUGAAGAGUCCAAACUCUAAGCUGGAGAUAAUGAGAUUUUCCAUCUGUAAUCUCAC
This is a long non-coding RNA of Sinocyclocheilus grahami, 263 nucleotides long. RefSeq lists it as uncharacterized. The transcript has 3 exons. Lineage: Eukaryota; Metazoa; Chordata; Actinopteri; Cypriniformes; Cyprinidae. The record is from RefSeq and is a predicted model, not a curated record.